RNAcentral lists this ribosomal RNA (373 nucleotides) under uncultured bacterium. RNAcentral describes it as "bacterial SSU rRNA". It matches the Rfam family "Bacterial small subunit ribosomal RNA", at positions 523 to 898 of the family's 1533-position model. The record is from RNAcentral.
AUACGGAGGGUGCAAGCGUUGUCCGGAUUUAUUGGGUUUAAAGGGUGCGUAGGUGGCUUGUUAAGUCCGGGGUGAAAGCCCACAGCUCAACUGUGGAACUGCCCUGGAUACUGGCGAGCUUGAGUCCAGACGAGGUUGGCGGAAUGGAAGCUGUAGCGGUGAAAUGCAUAGAUAGCUUCCAGAACCCCGAUUGCGUAGGCAGCUGACUAGGCUGGUACUGACACUGAGGCACGAAAGCGUGGGGAGCGAACAGGAUUAGAUACCCUGGUAGUCCACGCCGUAAACGAUGGAUACUCGCUGGCAGCGAUACACUGUUGCUGGCUUAGCGAAAGCGGUAAGUAUCCCACCUGGGGAGUACGCUCGCAAGAGUGAA